This 793-nucleotide ribosomal RNA is filed under the name uncultured bacterium. RNAcentral describes it as "bacterial SSU rRNA". It matches the Rfam family "Bacterial small subunit ribosomal RNA", at positions 105 to 896 of the family's 1533-position model. The record is from RNAcentral.
GGUGCGUAACGCGUAGGAAUAUACCUGGUAGUGGGGGGCAACCCGGCGAAAGCCGGGCUAAUACCGCAUACGAUCUACGGAUGAAAGCAGGGGACCGCAAGGCCUUGCGCUAUCAGAUUAGCCUGCGUCGGAUUAGCUAGUUGGUGAGGUAAAGGCUCACCAAGGCAACGAUCCGUAGCUGGUUUGAGAGAACGACCAGCCACACUGGGACUGAGACACGGCCCAGACUCCUACGGGAGGCAGCAGUGGGGAAUAUUGGACAAUGGGGGCAACCCUGAUCCAGCAAUGCCGCGUGUGUGAAGAAGGCCUUCGGGUUGUAAAGCACUUUCGAUGGGGAAAAACAAGCCAGACCUAACACGUCUGGCCCUGAUGGUACCCAGAGAAGAAGCACCGGCUAACUCUGUGCCAGCAGCCGCGGUAAUACAGAGGGUGCAAGCGUUAAUCGGAAUUACUGGGCGUAAAGGGUGCGUAGGUGGUUUGUUAAGUCAGGCGUGAAAUCCCUGGACUCAACCUGGGAACUGCGUUUGAUACUGGCAGACUCGAGUCUGGUAGAGGGUAGUGGAAUUCCGCAUGUAGCGGUGAAAUGCGUAGAUAUGCGGAGGAACAUCAGUGGCGAAGGCGGCUACCUGUACCAAGACUGACACUGAGGCACGAAAGCGUGGGGAUCAAACAGGAUUAGAUACCCUGGUAGUCCACGCCCUAAACGAUGGGUACUAGACGUUGGAGGUUUAUCCUCUUGUGUCGCAGCUAACGCAAUAAGUACCCCGCCUGGCGAGUACGGUCCGCAAGAUUA